This 402-nucleotide ribosomal RNA is filed under the name uncultured bacterium. RNAcentral describes it as "bacterial SSU rRNA". It matches the Rfam family "Bacterial small subunit ribosomal RNA", at positions 355 to 774 of the family's 1533-position model. The record is from RNAcentral.
UGGGGAAUAUUGGACAAUGGGCGCAAGCCUGAUCCAGCCAUGCCACGUGAGUGAUGAAGGCCCUAGGGUUGUAAAGCUCUUUCACCGGUGAAGAUAAUGACGGUAACCGGAGAAGAAGCCCCGGCUAACUUCGUGCCAGCAGCCGCGGUAAUACGAAGGGGGCUAGCGUUGUUCGGAAUUACUGGGCGUAAAGCGCACGUAGGCGGAUCGAUCAGUUAGGGGUGAAAUCCCGGGGCUCAACCCCGGAACUGCCUCUAAUACUGUCGAUCUGGAGUUCGAGAGAGGUCAGUGGAAUUCCUAGUGUAGAGGUGAAAUUCGUAGAUAUUCGGAGGAACACCAGUGGCGAAGGCGGCUCACUGGCUCGAUACUGACGCUGAGGUGCGAAAGCGUGGGGAGCAAACA